AACGAACGCUGGCGGCAUGCCUAACACAUGCAAGUCGAACGAAGCCUUCGGGCUUAGUGGCGCACGGGUGCGUAACACGUGGGAAUCUGCCCUUCGGUUCGGAAUAACAGUUAGAAAUGACUGCUAAUACCGGAUGAUGACGUAAGUCCAAAGAUUUAUCGCCGAAGGAUGAGCCCGCGUAGGAUUAGGUAGUUGGUAGGGUAAUGGCCUACCAAGCCGACGAUCCUUAGCUGGUCUGAGAGGAUGAUCAGCCACACUGGGACUGAGACACGGCCCAGACUCCUACGGGAGGCAGCAGUGGGGAAUAUUGGACAAUGGGCGAAAGACCUGAUCCAGCAAUGCCGCGUGAGUGAUGAAGG
This 359-nucleotide ribosomal RNA is filed under the name uncultured bacterium. RNAcentral describes it as "bacterial SSU rRNA". It matches the Rfam family "Bacterial small subunit ribosomal RNA", at positions 29 to 414 of the family's 1533-position model. The record is from RNAcentral.